UACAGAGGUCUCAAGCGUUGUUCGGAUGCAUUGGGCGUAAAGGGUGCGUAGGCGGCGCGGUAAGUCGGGUGUGAAAUCUCGGAGCUUAACUCCGAAACUGCAUUCGAUACUGCCGUGCUUGAGGACUGGAGAGGAGACUGGAAUUUACGGUGUAGCGGUGAAAUGCGUAGAUAUCGUAAGGAAGACCAGUGGCGAGGGCGGGUCUCUGGACAGUUCCUGACGCUGAGGCACGAAGGUCAGGGGAGCAAACGGG
This 253-nucleotide ribosomal RNA is filed under the name uncultured bacterium. RNAcentral's name for it is "partial 16S ribosomal RNA". It matches the Rfam family "Bacterial small subunit ribosomal RNA", at positions 524 to 776 of the family's 1533-position model. The record is from RNAcentral.